GAGUGGGAAGAGCUUCGAGUAGAGGUGAUAAACCUAUCGAGCACAGUAAUAGCUGGUUGCCUGAGAAAUGGAUAGAAGUUCAGCCCUUUAGAUUUUCUCCCCUCAAACUCAACACUUGUUAAGAUUAAAGAAAAUAUUAAGGAGUUAGUCAGAAGGGGUACAGCUCUUCUGAUAAAAGAAACAACUUUAAUAGGUGAAACAGGAUCAUAUCAAACAAGGACUAAGAUUUAAGUGGGCCUAAAAGCAGCCACCUUUAAAGAAAGCGUUAAAGCUCCAACUAGCUUUUUUCCCCGUAUACUGAUAUUAAACCUCCUCCUCCCUACUACCUACCAGGCUAUCUUAUGCCCCCAUAAGAAUAAUUAUGCUAAAAUGAGUAAUAAGAAGAGACCAUCUCUUCUCCCAGCAUACGUGUAAGUCGAACCGGAUCCCCCACCGAUCAUUAUCCGACCCCAACCCCAGAGGGCCCUAAGCUAAAAAAACAAGAAAAUCGCUUAGUCAAAAUCGUUAAUCUCACACAAGAAUGCACUAAGGAAAGACUAAAAGGAGAGGAAGGAACUCGGCAAACCCAAGCCUCGCCUGUUUACCAAAAACAUCGCCUCUUGACCUAUAAAUAUAAGAGGUCUCGCCUGCCCAGUGACUAAAUGUUAAACGGCCGUGGUAUCUUAACCAUGCGAAGGUAGCGUAAUCACUUGUCUUUUAAAUGAAGACCUGUAUGAAUGGCAAAACGAGGGCUUAACUGUCUCCCUCCCCCAGUCAAUGAAAUUGACCUCCCCGUGCAGAGGCGGGGAUAAAUAUAUAAGACGAGAAGACCCUGUGGAGCUUUAGACUUUAAAAUAACCACGUCAAACAAACUCCAAACAUGAGAAAAAACUUAGUGGGCCCUUAUUUAAAUGUCUUUGGUUGGGGUUGACCGCGGGGCAAAGCACAGC
RNAcentral lists this ribosomal RNA (929 nucleotides) under Coryphaenoides zaniophorus (thickbeard grenadier). Its description in RNAcentral is "partial 16S ribosomal RNA". It matches the Rfam family "Bacterial large subunit ribosomal RNA", at positions 797 to 2301 of the family's 2925-position model. Lineage: Eukaryota; Metazoa; Chordata; Actinopteri; Gadiformes; Macrouridae. The record is from RNAcentral.